AUGAGGUGUAUUAGAUAUAUGAGGUGUAUUAGAUAUAUGAGGUAUAUUAGAUAUAUGAGGUGUCUAAGGCAAAUGCUGGGCGGUUGGGCUCCGUGGGAAACAGGCUCCUUGGGGUGGGUUUGGGAGCACUGCUGGUGUGAGAGCUCCGUGGCAGUCACCACAGCUCUCCUGGUGCUCUGGCAGUGGUGGCUGUGCCAUUGUUGUGUGUGCUGCCGUGCGCCAGUGCAGUCUGGAGCGCGGGACGCGGCGCUGGCACGGCGGCACCGUGCUUUACUCAGGCCUUACUCAGGCUUUACUGGCAGGCUGCGGCAGCCCUGUGGCACAGCCUGGGCUGGCACGGGCCCCGAGCAGCAGCUCAGCAGCACAGCACGGCACAGCACGGCACAGAGCAGAGCAGAGGAGCCCGGCUCCCGGCUCAGCAGCACUGCACGGCACAGCACACAGCACAGCACGGCACAGAGCAGAGCAGAGGAGCCCGGCUCCCGGGAGAGGGGAAGCGGCGGCUGCGCUGGCAGCGCCGGCAGGGCCGGGCAGGAUGCAGACGCGCUCCUGGCAGAGAUCCCGGCACUGGGCCUGCCCGCCCUGGGCACGGCCGGGAGAGCGGGGAGGGACAGGCUCCUGCCAGUCACACGUGUGUGUGCGACACUCUGCAUUGUCCCAGGUGUGUGUGACACUGCUCUCUGUGUGUGUGUGUCUCUGUGCGUGUGUGUGUGUGUGGCACUGCUGUGUGCGUGUCUGUAUCCCCUAUCCUAUGUUUGUGUGUGUGACCCCACGCUCCCAGCGAAGCGUUUGCAGCAAACCCGUCCCCAAACCCUGUGGCGUAUCCGGCGCGCAGAGCUCUGCAGUUCUGCCUCGGGUCUCUCAGCUGGGCAAACGCAGAAAUCACCGGUUUCACCCUUAGCAGGAGUUAGUCCCCGAAACAAGAGCCCUCGGUGUCCUUCAGUGCUGCAGGAUCCCACAGUCCGUGGUGUCCCAUCCGUGCUGCCCCUGCCGAUGGGGGGUGUGAAGCUGCUUUCCCGUUUCCCUGCUCUCUCCCCGUGUGAUGAAUACCCUCUCCCGAGCCUCGGUGGUAUUAGCUGCAGCUAA
RNAcentral lists this long non-coding RNA (1086 nucleotides) under Ficedula albicollis (Collared flycatcher). Its description in RNAcentral is "lncRNA (ENSFALG00000024035.1)". Lineage: Eukaryota; Metazoa; Chordata; Aves; Passeriformes; Muscicapidae. The record is from RNAcentral.